RNAcentral lists this ribosomal RNA (516 nucleotides) under uncultured Entrophospora. Its description in RNAcentral is "SSU rRNA". It matches the Rfam family "Eukaryotic small subunit ribosomal RNA", at positions 569 to 1081 of the family's 1831-position model. Lineage: Eukaryota; Fungi; Glomeromycota; Glomeromycetes; Entrophosporales; Entrophosporaceae. The record is from RNAcentral.
AGCAGCCGCGGUAAUUCCAGCUCCAAUAGCGUAUAUUAAAGUUGUUGCAGUUAAAAAGCUCGUAGUUGAAUUUCGGGAUUGACGUGAUGGUCAUGCCUUAAGGGGUAUGAACUGUUACAGUUGAUUUCUCACCUUCUGGAGAAACUUGAUGUCCUUUAUUGGGUGUCUUGCGGAUCCAGGACCUUUACCUUGAAAAAAUUAGAGUGUUUAAAGCAGGCAUUUUUGCUCGAAUACAUUAGCAUGGAAUAAUAGAAUAGGACGGCAUGGUUCUAUUUUGUUGGUUUCUAGGAUCGCCGUAAUGAUUAAUAGGGAUAGUUGGGGGCAUUAGUAUUCAAUUGUCAGAGGUGAAGUUCUUGGAUUUAUUGAAGACUAACUACUGCGAAAGCAUUUGCCAAGGAUGUUUUCAUUAAUCAAGACGAAAUUAGGGGAUCGAAGACGAUCAGAUACCGUCGUAGUCUUAACCAUAAACUAUGCCGACUAGGAAUCAGACGAUGUUAAUUUUUAAUGUACUCGUUU